Molecule: ribosomal RNA, 207 nt
Filed under: uncultured bacterium
Lineage: Bacteria
Description: partial 16S ribosomal RNA
Rfam family: Bacterial small subunit ribosomal RNA
Source: RNAcentral
UGCGUAGGCGGUCUUUCAAGCCAGAAGUGAAAGGCUACGGCUCAACCGUAGUAAGCUUUUGGAACUGUAAGACUUGAGUGCAGGAGAGGAGAGUAGAAUUCCUAGUGUAGCGGUGAAAUGCGUAGAUAUUAGGAGGAAUACCAGUAGCGAAGGCGGCUCUCUGGACUGUAACUGACGCUGAGGCACGAAAGCAGUGGGGAGCAAACA